UAGGGAAUCUUCCGCAAUGGACGAAAGUCUGACGGAGCAACGCCGCGUGAGUGAAGAAGGAUUUCGGUUCGUAAAACUCUGUUGUUAGGGAAGAAAAAAUGUAUAGUAACUAUAUACAAAAGAGACGGUACCUAACCAGAAAGCCACGGCUAACUACGUGCCAGCAGCCGCGGUAAUACGUAAGGUCCGAGCGUUGUCCGGAAUCAUUGGGCGUAAAGGGUACGUAGGCGGAUAAGCAAGUUAGAAGUGAAAUCCUAUAGCUCAACUAUAGUCAGCUUUUAAAACUGCUCAUCUUGAGGUAUGGAAGGGAAAGUGGAAUUCCUAGUGUAGCGGUGAAAUGCGCAGAUAUUAGGAGGAAUACCGGUGGCGAAGGCGACUUUCUGGCCAUAUACUGACGCUGAGGUACGAAAGCGUGGGUAGCAAACAGG
RNAcentral lists this ribosomal RNA (428 nucleotides) under Verrucomicrobiota bacterium. RNAcentral's name for it is "Verrucomicrobia bacterium partial 16S ribosomal RNA". It matches the Rfam family "Bacterial small subunit ribosomal RNA", at positions 355 to 776 of the family's 1533-position model. Lineage: Bacteria; Pseudomonadati; Verrucomicrobiota. The record is from RNAcentral.